Molecule: non-coding RNA, 72 nt
Organism: Picea glauca (white spruce)
Lineage: Eukaryota; Viridiplantae; Streptophyta; Pinopsida; Pinales; Pinaceae
Source: Rfam
GGUUCUAUGGUGUAGUGGUUAGCACUCUAGACUUUGAAUGUAGCAACCUGGGUUCAAGUCCCGGUAGGACCU